Varanus komodoensis (Komodo dragon) is the source of this 1891-nucleotide long non-coding RNA. RefSeq lists it as uncharacterized. The transcript is spliced from 2 exons. Lineage: Eukaryota; Metazoa; Chordata; Lepidosauria; Squamata; Varanidae. The record is from RefSeq and is a predicted model, not a curated record.
GAUGCAGCGCUUUGAAGGCAGAGAUACGCUUCACUGGAUUAAAUGUCAGCAUUUCCUAGAGAGAAGCACAAUGAGGGAAUGAUGUCCUUGCUGUUUACACACACACAGUUUUAAUCCAGUUAAGACAGGUCUCAGGCCUAUGUGGAACAAGACGAGCACGAGAUCGUCUGAAGGCAUUCAUGUCUUGUUUCCAUCUUUUGAAAUGUUUCUCAGGCACCCGCCCACAGGUCUCGUGUGGCUCUUAAAUCUGGCAUCAGCCUUACUUUGGAAACACUGCUCUGUGUUGUCCUAUGACUAACACAAGUCCACACAGUACAUUAUUCAUGAAGCAGCUGCGGUGAUUGCCAACAGCCUGGAUGCGUGAAACAUGCCUUCAUUCCCAGUUACUGAGCACUGAGUCACUGACGCUCAUCGUCUCAUUCCAUCCACAGACAAUUGCCCCCAGAGCCGGGAUGGCGACAGCAACAUGCGAGCCCUGUGAAUGCGAGAACGGCCCUCCGUCCACAGCCUCUGGAACCAGACAGACCCACAAUUCUACAGCAGACGCACUUUAGACCAGCAAAAGCUGCUCCUGGGCUGCACGACUUCACAUUGCACUGGCCCAAUCCAGGCAGCAGGACUCACUCGAAGAUCUUGCCCAGCUGGUCAGCUUCGGAGUUGCCACAGAAGAGAGGCCUGUAGGGAGGACAAAGGGACGUGUGGUUACUGUGGGACGUGAUGGCAUAAGUUCUGUGGCCGCUGCUGCCUUACUACAGCACCUCUGAGUGGGGGACGCUGCACUGUUGAGUCUGCCCUAUGCACACUCGAGGCAGAAAACAGUCUGUGCCCCUGCCAGCCAGGGUGGUGCCAUUAGCGAGAUGGGCAGUGCAAGAGACGGGCUGCACGACACACACAUUCAUGGUUCCCACAGAACUCAGGAGGCGGCUUACAAUGGUGCCAGAUAGACAAUGAAUUGUCUGGAAAACAUGGAAGGGCUAAGCCAUGACGCAGACACCUAGGAUAGCAAGCAAAGGAGAAGGGGGCAGAAGUACACAGAAAAAAAGAAGUGGUCCAGCAUUAAAGAUACAGCACCCCCAGAUAGCCUAUUCCUUUCUCCCACUGGCCAAUGUGAACGGGAGGUCACUGGAAUACAGAAGAGACACCAUUUCAUGAAUUACUUAUGUACCAAGCUACACAAAAAACCAGCCCUCCACCAUUUAAGUCUCCAGAUGGAUGGGGCAACUUCAAAAGGUCUUGUUUAAAUAAAUAAAGUCUAGAGAAACACAUUUUAUGAAGGGCUGUGCUCCCCCUAUGGAACGUGGCAGCUUUUGGAACAAGUGGGAAUUCACCCAAGGUGUAGCACUACCACCCUUUCAGGGAACUCUGUGAAGCUACCUCCAUGAACCCCCUCCAUUCCAUUCAAGUCAUGGAUUAGGACAGUCCUCUUCCAGUUGAAGUCUGAGACCAACUUAAAGGGCUUACACUAAACAGCUUGGGACCAAAUUACCUAAAAGAACACCUCUUCUCAUCUACUCCUGCCCAGCUCCUGAGCUCAUCAUCUGUACUCUUUCUCAGAGAGCCCCCUUUAAAAGAAAUAAAGACGGUGGCUAUGAGGAGAAGGGCCUUUUUGGUAGAGGCACCUCAAUUAUGGAACCAGCUUCCAAAGGAGCAACACCUGGAGUCCACUCUUCAUUCCUUUCAGCACCAGCUAACAACCUUUUUAGUCACCCAAUAUUGUAACAGUUAACAAUUUUCAUUUCCAUUUAAAAGAAUAUUUUGUCUAUUUUACAUGCCACUGUAUUUUACUGCUGCUAUACUCUAGACUGACCUGUACAUCACUGCUGUGGAUUUAUUGUGGGCCUAUUGUUGUUAUUCUAGUAUUGUUUUUAUACUGAUGUAUUAUUUAUCUUUA